Molecule: transfer RNA, 73 nt
Filed under: Bos taurus (domestic cattle)
Lineage: Eukaryota; Metazoa; Chordata; Mammalia; Artiodactyla; Bovidae
Rfam family: tRNA
About the family: Transfer RNA (tRNA) molecules are approximately 80 nucleotides in length.
Source: Rfam by way of RNAcentral
UUCUUGGUGGUCCAGUGGUUAGGACUCCGUGCUUCCACUGCAGAGAGCACAGGUUCGAUCCCUGACUGGGGAA